This is a non-coding RNA of Podarcis lilfordi (Lilford's wall lizard), 72 nucleotides long. The record is from the annotation of a GenBank genome assembly. NCBI's taxonomy places the organism in Eukaryota, Metazoa, Chordata, Lepidosauria, Squamata, Lacertidae.
GCAGUGGUAGUUCAAUAGUAGAGUAUCUGUUUUGUGUACAUAAAGUCCCAGAUUCAAUCCCUGGCCUCUCCA